CCUACGGGAGGCAGCAGUGGGGAAUAUUGCGCAAUGGGCGAAAGCCUGACGCAGCGACGCCGCGUGAGGGAUGAAGGUCUUCGGAUCUUAAACCUCUGUCAGCCGGGCAGCACAGUCACUGUGCUAAUCAGCAGUGAAAUGACGGUACAUGCAAAGGACGCACCGGCUAACUCCGUGCCAGCAGCCGCGGUAAUACGGAGGGUGCGAGCGUUAUCCGGAUUUAUUGGGUUUAAAGGGUGCGCAGGCGGGGGUGCAAGUCAGCGGUAAAAUUGCGGGGCUCAACCCCGUACUGCCGUUGAAACUGCAUCCCUUGAGUGCGCGAGAAGUAUGCGGAAUGCGUGGUGUAGCGGUGAAAUGCAUAGAUAUCACGCAGAACUCCGAUUGCGAAGGCAGCAUACCGGCGCGCAACUGACGCUCAUGCACGAAAGCGUGGGUAUCGAACAGGAUUAGAUACCCGUGUAGUC
Molecule: ribosomal RNA, 464 nt
Filed under: uncultured bacterium
Lineage: Bacteria
Description: partial 16S ribosomal RNA
Rfam family: Bacterial small subunit ribosomal RNA
Source: RNAcentral